Molecule: transfer RNA, 73 nt
Filed under: Blattella germanica (German cockroach)
Lineage: Eukaryota; Metazoa; Arthropoda; Insecta; Blattodea; Blattellidae
Description: tRNA-Val (AAC) (tRNA-Val-AAC-4-1)
Source: RNAcentral
GUUUCCAUGGUGUAGUGGUUAUCACAUCCGCCUAACACGCGGAAGGUCCCUGGUUCGAUCCCGGGCGGAAACA